This 301-nucleotide signal recognition particle RNA is filed under the name Cebus imitator (Panamanian white-faced capuchin). Its description in RNAcentral is "Metazoan signal recognition particle RNA (ENSCCAG00000006118.1)". It matches the Rfam family "Metazoan signal recognition particle RNA". Rfam says of the family: The signal recognition particle (SRP) is a universally conserved ribonucleoprotein. It is involved in the co-translational targeting of proteins to membranes. The record is from RNAcentral. Lineage: Eukaryota; Metazoa; Chordata; Mammalia; Primates; Cebidae.
GCCGGGCACGGUAGCGCGUGCCUGUAGUCCCAGUUACUCCGGGGAGGCUGAGGUGGGAGGAUCGCUUGAGCCCAGGAGUUCUGGGCUGCAGUGCGCUAUGCCGAUUGGGUGUCCGCAUUAAGUUCAGCAUCAAUGUGGUGACCUCCCGGGAGCGGGGGACCACCAGGUUGCCUAAGGAGGGGUGAACCGGCCCAGGCUGGAAACGGAGCAGGUCAAAACUCCCGUGCUGAUCAGUAGUGGGGUCGCGCCUGUGAAUAGCCACUGCACUCCAGCCUGGGCAACAUAGCGAGACCCUGUCUCU